GAUGAACGCUGGCGGCGUGCCUAAUACAUGCAAGUCGAGCGAACAGACGAGGAGCUUGCUCCUCUGACGUUAGCGGCGGACGGGUGAGUAACACGUGGAUAACCUACCUAUAAGACUGGGAUAACUUCGGGAAACCGGAGCUAAUACCGGAUAAUAUAUUGAACCGCAUGGUUCAAUAGUGAAAGACGGUUUUGCUGUCACUUAUAGAUGGAUCCGCGCCGCAUUAGCUAGUUGGUAAGGUAACGGCUUACCAAGGCGACGAUGCGUAGCCGACCUGAGAGGGUGAUCGGACACACGGGAACUGAGAAACGGUCCAGACUCCGACGGGAGGCAGCAGUAGGGAAUCUUACGCAAGGGGCGAAAGCCUGACGGAGCAAAGCCGCGUGAGUGAUGAAGGUCUUCGGAUCGUAAAACUCUGUUAGUAGGGAAGAACAAAUGUGUAAGUAACUAUGCACGUAUUGACGGUACCUAAUCAGAAAGCCACGGCUAACUACGUG
Molecule: ribosomal RNA, 497 nt
Filed under: uncultured bacterium
Lineage: Bacteria
Description: partial 16S ribosomal RNA
Rfam family: Bacterial small subunit ribosomal RNA
Source: RNAcentral